GAUUCGAAAUUUAUAUUUCCUGCAGUAUGGGCUAACGCUGCAAGAUUUGAAACUUAUGCCCACAGCCGAGCACCAGGAUAAGACGGAACGUCGCUGGAGAGCGAUCGCCAGGCCGAUUUGGUAUUUUUUCAGUUAUGGAAAAUUAGGAAACCUAUUUUUCUCGUAAUUUUAGCCUUUUAUGUGGCUUUUUGUGCAUUUUCUCCAGUAUUAUUUGAAAUUUUUGUAUAUUGUUUUAGAUUCGAAACUUAUAUGCACAGCUGUGGUGAUGAAGCCAAGACAAGACGUCGCUGGAGACGGAUCUGGUAGGAAAAAUUAGACUCUUGCCUGGAAUGGAGAAUGAGAAAAACCUUACUAUUUCACCUCAACCUCCCAUACUAAUAUAUUGUUCUAUUGCAGCUAAGAGCCACCUUAAAGAAAAUAAAAACAGAUUUAUAAUUUAAUAAAGAUUAUUGAGUUAUUAUUUAUCCCUUACCCUUUUCCCUAAGGGCCCAAAGGAGGACCAUUGACUGACAGCUAACUGGCGCACAUGACAUAUCAGUACAUAACAAGAACCUUUUUUUUUGGUAAUUUUUACCUUUUUAUCGUUUUUUGUACAUUUUCCCUUGUAUUUAUUAUGAUUUUUGUGUUAUUGUUUCAUAUUUAAAAUUAAUAUGCACAGGAGUGAAGGGGAGAGGGGUUAGUUUAUACAACGCGUCGCUAGGGACGGAUCGCCAGGCAGGAUUGUAAUUUUUCAGUUGUGGAAAAUUAGAAUACUUAUGUUACUCGUGAUUUUAACUUUUUGUAUCGUUUUUUGUGCAUUUUCUCUAGUAUUAAUUAUAUAAUUUUCUUUUAUUCUUUCAGAUUCGAAAUUUACAUGCACAACGGAGUUCAAGCUGGAAACUGAUCGACCACGGAGAAUUAAACUCCUUUCUGGAGGGGAAAAUUGAUAUUUUUCAGUUGUGGGAAAAUGCGAAACUUAUUUUUCUCGUGAUUUUAACUUUAUUCGAAACAGUUGUGGCCAAACUAAGACCAGACGCUGGGGACGGAUCUGACAGCAAAACUGAGACUUUUUCUGGGACGGAAAAUUAAGAAAUAGUAUAUUGAAAGACAAGUGUUACAAUGCGACCUAUUGUAAUACGACUAUCUUGU
This is a long non-coding RNA of Photinus pyralis (common eastern firefly), 1128 nucleotides long. RefSeq lists it as uncharacterized. The transcript is spliced from 3 exons. Lineage: Eukaryota; Metazoa; Arthropoda; Insecta; Coleoptera; Lampyridae. The record is from RefSeq and is a predicted model, not a curated record.